Pelmatolapia mariae (spotted tilapia) is the source of this 572-nucleotide long non-coding RNA. RefSeq lists it as uncharacterized. The transcript has 3 exons. NCBI's taxonomy places the organism in Eukaryota, Metazoa, Chordata, Actinopteri, Cichliformes, Cichlidae. The record is from RefSeq and is a predicted model, not a curated record.
UUCAGGUCACUUCUUAGAAAGCUUUGUGAAGAAAUGCAAAUUCUCAGAUUGUCAGAACAAAACAGUGGAAGUUUCGCUAAGAAAGAAAGGCUUAGCCACAGCUUUUUCCCCCUAUAAGACUGAUUAUUAAACUGAGUUCAUGAUGCAGCUUUAUCGAGCUCUGAUCCUGUGUGUGACUCUGUCUGCAGUAUGUGGAUUACGAUGCUACACAUGUACAGCCGCUGAUCCUAAAUCCUGCAUAGACAGCAAAUCUUGUGCCGUCAUCUUCAACCGUUGUUUCUCUCUCAGAGUAGACGGUUAUAACUUGGUUACAAAGGGCUGCCAAACCAGUGCAUUAUGCAUUGGGUCUAUGGCUUGCUGUGAAGGGGACCUGUGUAACAGCACUACUCCAACCGGUCCCAGUGCUUUCCUGCUGUUGGUAUCUUCAGCCAUCCUCAAGUUUCUUUUCUGAGGCUGUGGAAUGAUGUUUUUUCUAUUUCUUUUUUUCCUUUUUUAAAAAAAAUAAAUAAAAAAUGCUGCUUUCUGAUUUUAUUUUGUACAACUGAAGAAUAAAUAACUUUGUUGUACCAUCA